GACGGGUGAGUAACACGUAAAGACUUGCCCUGCAGUCUGGGACAACUACUGGAAACGGUAGCUAAUACCGGAUAUUGCCGCAUGGCGAAAGCUAUAUGCGCUGCAGGAGAGCUUUGCGUCCCAUUAGUUAGUUGGUGAGGUAACGGCUCACCAAGACCGCGAUGGGUAGCCGGCCUGAGAGGGUGAACGGCCACAAGGGGACUGAGACACGGCCCUUACUCCUACGGGAGGCAGCAGUGGGGAAUAUUGGACAAUGGACCAAAGUCUGAUCCAGCAAUUCUGUGUGCACGAUGACGGUCUUAGGAUUGUAAAGUGCUUUCAAUCGGGAAAAAGAAAGUGAUGGUACCGAUAGAAGAAGCGACGGCUAAAUACGUGCCAGCAGCCGCGGUAAUACGUAUGUCGCAAGCGUUAUCCGGAUUUAUUGGGCGUAAAGCGCGUCUAGG
This 443-nucleotide ribosomal RNA is filed under the name uncultured bacterium. Its description in RNAcentral is "bacterial SSU rRNA". It matches the Rfam family "Bacterial small subunit ribosomal RNA", at positions 100 to 575 of the family's 1533-position model. The record is from RNAcentral.